This 500-nucleotide ribosomal RNA is filed under the name uncultured Glomeromycotina. RNAcentral's name for it is "partial small subunit ribosomal RNA". It matches the Rfam family "Eukaryotic small subunit ribosomal RNA", at positions 591 to 1092 of the family's 1831-position model. The record is from RNAcentral. Lineage: Eukaryota; Fungi; Glomeromycota.
CCAAUAGCGUAUAUUAAAGUUGUUGCAGUUAAAAAGCUCGUAGUUGAAUUUCGGGGUCAGUAGAUUGGUCGUGCCUCUGGUAUGUACUGGUCUCACUGAUUCCUCCUUCCUGAUGAACCGUAAUGCCAUUAAUUUGGUGUUGCGGGGAGACUGGACUGUUACUUUGAAAAAAUUAGAGUGUUUAAAGCAAGCUAACGCUUGAAUACAUUAGCAUGGAAUAAUGAAAUAGGACGUUCGAUCCUAUUUUGCUGGUUUCUAGGAUUGACGUAAUGAUUAAUAGGGAUAGUUGGGGGCAUUAGUAUUCAAUUGUCAGAGGUGAAAUUCUUGGAUUUAUUGAAGACUAACUACUGCGAAAGCAUUUGCCAAGGAUGUUUUCAUUAAUCAAGAACGAAAGUUAGGGGAUCGAAGACGAUCAGAUACCGUCGUAGUCUUAACCAUAAACUAUGCCGACUAGGGAUCGGAUGAUGUUAAUUUUUUAAUGACUCAUUCGGCGCCUUACG